RNAcentral lists this long non-coding RNA (827 nucleotides) under Citrus sinensis (sweet orange). RNAcentral describes it as "long non-coding RNA (CSIN_LNC004246)". Lineage: Eukaryota; Viridiplantae; Streptophyta; Magnoliopsida; Sapindales; Rutaceae. The record is from RNAcentral.
AGGGUAUGUUUAUUGCUGCUCAUUUCUCUUUUCUAGGGUUUAAUUUUGUUUCUCUUGGUGAAAACUAAUCUGCUUUGGGAGCUUGAUUUGUUGGGAAAAGAAAAGAUUAGAAAAGCUUUUAAGUUUUGAAGUUGUUUGACUUUAUACGUGUUUUAGAGAAACUAGAUAUUCGGUCUAUAGAAGCAGGUACUAGGUUCUCUUGAAAGUUUGCUGAUGCUUAUUGAAGCUGAGUGUUGGUUUAGUUGUUUGAAGUUCUGCUCAACAUAUAGAUUAUUGUGAGAGAUAAGUAAUGCUUGAGCAUCAAUCCUGAAAUUGGGGUCUUCUACUUCAAACUGUUCGAUGGUUUAAAUUUAUGAGUGUUUGAUUUUUUUUUUUUUUUUUUUUGGGUUUGUUGGGGAGGAGUUUGAAUUUGUUUACUGAAAAUGGAUGGCUCAAAAAACCGGCAUAACAAUGAUCAUUUGGGUGUGAAUAAGAUGGGGAAGAAUAUAAGGAAGAGUCCAUUGCACCAACCUAAUUUUGCGGCUAUUUGUUUUUUUUUUUUUUUUUUUUGGAGAGUUUGUUGGGGAGGAGUUUGAAUUUGUUUACUGAAAAUGGAUGGCUCAAAAAACCGGCAUAACAAUGAUCAUUUGGGUGUGAAUAAGAUGGGGAAGAAUAUAAGGAAGAGUCCAUUGCACCAACCUAAUUUUGCGGCUAAUAAUAAUGUUGCUAAUAGGCAACAACCUCAGCCGCAGGUUUACAACAUAAGCAAGAAUGAUUUUAGGAACAUUGUGCAGCAACUCACUGGUUCACCUUCACAAGAACCUUUGCCUAGGCCUCCACAAAAUCCU